GCUGAAGAUGCCAUCGCUUGGCUAGACGACUAUGCACACACUAAAUAAAAUAAUAAAGAAUCACGGGGCAUGUUGGUCUUAGGAACAGCGGGCCUGGUAUUAGCAGGCUAGCACCUGUGGCUGCAGAGAGCCAGGCAUCUUCCCAUUCAGUUAAUUGGAAUGAUAUCAAUUGAGUUAUGGGGAGUGAGGGUGGGAAGAGCCAGGCUAGAAAUAAGCAGAAGACUCUUAUGAAAUAUUUGUCUCCUCAUCCAGAGUUUACAUAGCAGUUGGUUUGUCAUUCACAGCAGGAUGUUGAAUGGUCCCAUAGAUGUAAUUGGAUCCACACGGGUGGACCCAGCACCACUGACUUCAAGAGGACUUCAUGUGAGCUGAGCACAAAGGUUAAACGGCACAGAUCCAGUUGCAGUAUCAGGACCAAAAUUUCUAUAUCUCACACAGGAAGUGUCUUCAGUCAGAGGAUCUGCAGAAGAGUGGAUCGGCUUCUGCAAAAACCCACCUGUUUCUGGAACACGGACUUUCAGAAACGGGUGUAAAAUGAAUGCAGAGAUGAUUGUGAAAAAGGAAAGGUUUAAGGGAAUAUUUUGAAAGAGUUGGGAAUAGGAAAUAGAAAUCAUUGCCCCCAGUAUCUGAAAAAUUCUGCAACUAUACUUAGAUAGAAAGGUGUCUUUUUGUUCUGUGUUUGGAUAGUAACUAGCACAAGGGGGCCCUGGUCCGUAACUGGGGUUCCUGGGCACUGCGAUAAUACAAAUAAUAACAAUAAUAGUAAUAAAAUGCCACCAUUCUGAAAAGUAAGGGAAUGUCAGAAGUAAAAAGAAAAAUACAACCUAGCAGAGACCAUCAUCAUUUGAUCUAAAUUAUCAAAACUGAAUUCUUUUGAAACAUGAAGGUAAGAAUGAAACAAAAUAUAGCUUGUGCUCACUGAGUGGGUCAUACCUAAUUUUGCCCAUACAUGGGAAUAAAGCUGCAGGUCAUACGGUCAGCCUGAAAAUUUGUAUUAACAUAGCAGUGAUUUGUAGGUGUACUGAGUAAAUUCCUUGUAUAUAAUUUAUUUGCAUAAUAGUAAUGAGGAAAUGUUUUCUUUGGCUAAAUUGUUUAUCAUGUGAUAUGGGUGAAUUUAAGUGGAUUCCUGUCUAGCAACAUAUCAGCAGCCAACACCAGUCUGUUUUAUUCCUGAAGCAACAACCAACAGUCAGAGACAGCGGAUACAUCCCAUCUCACACACUCAAGCCCAGAUGUGGAAGGAAUCUACAUUCCCCCGGCCACCCAUCCCGCCACCAGAGGGAGACACUUAGAACUAGAGCUGGGUGCCAUUUUUCAUUGCCAAAAUGAAACGUUUUGAUUUCUUGUUUCUGAACGGCCUCCUUUGGAAAGUCGCUUCCAUUUUAUUUGUAAGCGAUUUAAAAAUGUUCACAACAGCAAGUGUUUGGGGACAGAACGAAACAUUUUGCUCCCUCACAAUAAAAUCGUUUUUCUUUU
Molecule: non-coding RNA, 1476 nt
Organism: Chrysemys picta bellii (western painted turtle)
Lineage: Eukaryota; Metazoa; Chordata; Testudines; Emydidae
Source: RefSeq, a predicted model, not a curated record